RNAcentral lists this ribosomal RNA (447 nucleotides) under uncultured bacterium. Its description in RNAcentral is "partial 16S ribosomal RNA". It matches the Rfam family "Bacterial small subunit ribosomal RNA", at positions 29 to 523 of the family's 1533-position model. The record is from RNAcentral.
AGCGAACGCUGGCGGCAGGCUUAACACAUGCAAGUCGAACGCCCCGCAAGGGGAGUGGCAGACGGGUGAGGAACGCGUGGGAACGUACCCUUCGGUUCGGAAUAACUCAGGGAAACUUGUGCUAAUACCGGAUACGUCCGAAAGGAGAAAGAUUUAUCGCCGAAGGAUCGGCCCGCGUCUGAUUAGCUUGUUGGUGAGGUAACGGCUCACCAAGGCGACGAUCAGUAGCUGGUCUGAGAGGAUGAUCAGCCACACUGGGACUGAGACACGGCCCAGACUCCUACGGGAGGCAGCAGUGGGGAAUAUUGGACAAUGGGGGCAACCCUGAUCCAGCCAUGCCGCGUGAGUGAUGAAGGCCUUAGGGUUGUAAAGCUCUUUUGUCCGGGAAGAUAAUGACGGUACCGGAAGAAUAAGCACCGGCUAACUCCGUGCCAGCCGCCGCCGUAA